This 539-nucleotide ribosomal RNA is filed under the name uncultured archaeon. RNAcentral's name for it is "bacterial SSU rRNA". It matches the Rfam family "Archaeal small subunit ribosomal RNA", at positions 460 to 997 of the family's 1478-position model. The record is from RNAcentral.
AGCCGCCGCGGGAACACCGGCGGCCCGAGUGGUGAUCGUGAUUAUUGGGUCUAAAGGGUCCGUAGCCGGUUUGGUCAGGUCCUCCGGGAAAUCUGAUAGCUCAACUAUUAGGCUUUCGGGGGAUACUGCCAGACUUGGAACCGGGAGAGGUAAGAGGUACUACAGGGGUAGGAGUGAAAUCUUGUAAUCCCUGUGGGACCACCUGUGGCGAAGGCGUCUUACCAGAACGGGUUCGACGGUGAGGACGAAAGCUGGGGGCACGAACCGGAUUAGAUACCCGGGUAGUCCCAGCCGUAAACGAUGCUCGCUAGGUGUCAGGCAUGGCGCGACCGUGUCUGGUGCCGCAGGGAAGCCGUGAAGCGAGCCACCUGGGAAGUACGGCCGCAAGGCUGAAACUUAAAGGAAUUGGCGGGGGAGCACAACAACGGGUGGAGCCCUGCGGUUUAAUUGGACUCAACGCCGGACAACUCACCGGGGGCGACAGCAAUAUGUAGGCCAAGCUGAAGACUUUGCCUGAAUCGCUGAGAAGAGGUGCAUGG